ACAUCAGCAAGACCUUGCAGUUAGAUUGAAAAAAUCUUCUAUUUUAGUCUUCAACAACUCCAGAGAGCUGUUUUAUCUGGUUUUCUAUCAUAGUAAGUGUAGACAACAUUACUUCUACAAAUAUCCACAGUGUGCUGAAAGCCUGUCAUUUCAUUUUGUAGCCAGAAAAAAACUGAAUAUUAAAAAAAUGCAAAUAUAACAUGCUGCCUUGUAUUUUCACCUUUACCCCCUUUCAAAGUACAGACUAUUCAUAAUAAAAAAUUUGGAAUACUGCAAUAGAAGCAAUGUUAAGAUUUUCAAAAACAAAAUUAAGAAAACAUGAAGGAGAGGGUGGCACAUGAUCUUUCUUCUGCCAAAUGGGUUUCUAUUCCAAACAGAUCAGGACGUGGAUGAAUGUUUCCAUGGAAGAUAAUUGGACUUGAAGUCACUUUGAAGCAGCAGAACUAAUGGACUCUAGUGAGGUCAAAUGAAGUUAAGUGAAGCAGAGAGCCUGGCCCACAGCUUUACCACUGUGAAAUAUUGUCUGUGUCAGAAAGUUCAGCUUCCUGACGAUACCACACCUUCAGUGGGAUGCUGAACCCAGCACUGGAGACUGGGCUGCUGCUCCUUCCAGAGCAGAUGCCAGAACCUCAUCCUUUAGAAAACCAUCUUUCAUUGUUGACACAAAACUCUUGAGAAGAUAAAGGAAAGCCUAACAGACACCCACCUAAAUCUGGAGACAACCUUCAAGAGGAGUCAGCUCUGAGAUCCUCCCGUGUGGCAGCUGGACAAAGCCACCCCCAUAGUACAGAAGACAGCACCCUCAAAAACACAAAGCAACUUUUGCCAGGAAAGGUUGGACCAGAUGAUCCUUGAAAUCUCUUCUAAACUGGCAUUCUAGGAAUUCCAUUGUACUUGUGUGGAAAUGGGUUCAUUAGAAAAAGAGAAAUUUGUCUUUUGAGUGGGUAUCUAGUAGGUGGUCUCCCAAAACAAUGCUCAGAAAGGUACUUAGAGCUGACCCAAAGAGGUAUGAGUGACCCUGUCCUCUACCCACCCCAACAGUGGAAGGGAAGAUCCUUCUCCUUCCAAGGACUCUGGGUCCUGUUUGUGGCAUUCACAUUCUCUGAACAGAGAGAGACAUAAAUCUCUCUCUGAGGGUUUCUUCCUGGAAAAGCACAGAGAGAAGAAGAGAAAACAGUUCUUAUCUCUACUUGCUGCUGCUGCUCCUGUUGUCUUUGCACAUGUGGAAUGUGUUAGGAAGAAUGUUUACCUGAAGGGAUUUGUCAAUUGGAUUCUGCUGAGGAUUGUUUUGUUUCCUUAGCCAAUCACUUGAAGCUGUGUCCUGACUGUCGGGAGACAGUCAUGAGUUUUUCUUUAGUAUUCUUUAGUAUUCUUUGUCAUAUAGUUACAGUAUAGCAUUAAUGUACAUAGUACAUAGUAUAGUUUAAUAAAGCAAUUGUUCAACAUCUGAA
Passer domesticus (house sparrow) is the source of this 1451-nucleotide long non-coding RNA. RefSeq lists it as uncharacterized. The record is from RefSeq and is a predicted model, not a curated record. NCBI's taxonomy places the organism in Eukaryota, Metazoa, Chordata, Aves, Passeriformes, Passeridae. The transcript has 2 exons.